AUUUUUGGUCAUUAAAAAUAUUUUUGAUAUUUUGAUAUUUUUGGUCAUUAAAAAGUUUUUUAUUGGUUCACAUGGUCUGGAAUAAUACAGUUCUAGGUGGCUGAAUUUCAUUGAAGUUUUACUCUGUUUUUAAACAAGGUAUUACUGAGGACAUCUUGGCCUGCCUGCAGUUUUAUGAGAACAAAAGCGGCCUUAUGGUCUCCGUCACUGUGAGUCUUCUGUACUGCAGCCCUGGACCAAGGGUAACAUAAAGGUUGUUCUCACAGGAGAUGUGUUUAGAGCUGUCAUGCUGCCCUCCUUCUGUUGCGUUUGACAGUAAAUGAUUUUUUUCUGUACAUUAGAUCAGGUCAGUCUGCUGCUUAGGUGGAGAGGAAAGGUGCUAAGAUUGCUGUACAGAAAGGAGGAGGAGGAGAAGGAGGAAGAGAACAAUAGAAAGAAGGAAAAGAAAAAGGAAAGUAGAUCUUUACUGUAAUUGGGUUUUUCAUAAUAGACUUGAAAGCCAGGUUUCGCCGAAUGGAAUGCUGCUAUUGACGUACCCUUACCUCUUUCUUAAAGUUCCUAGGAGCCACCAUGUCACAGAGUUCUACUGUAAGCCCAGGAAUAGGGAUACACAGCAAAGAAGGGAGGGCAAACAGGAUGGAUGGAGGCUGGGACUUUGCCGCUCUCCUGACCACAUCAGCCCCAAGCCCACAGGAGCCUGUGUCUUCUAGUAAGGUAUUCUGGGAUGAUGAUGAUGAUGAUGAUUCCGGCCUCUCCUUUCGCAGCUGCCCAAUGGCAGUGGCAUCUGGGCCCUCGGGUCAGGAACACACAGAGCUGCAUCAGUGGAACUGAAGAGAGAGUUUCACCAGGUUGUUCAAAGGGGGGCUGUGCUCUAAAACACAUCAGUUAGGCUCAGGAAACUCUUGUGCUGAUGUCGCUGUGAGAGAAGACUGACUUACCCUUAAGCCAUACCCUCUAGGCCCCACCGCAGUUUGGAGCUUACCAAAACUGUUCUUGCCACUUCUAAACACUGCACAAGGAGGACUGGGGAUUUAGCUCCGUGGUUCUGCCACCUGCCUCGCAAGCGCAAGGACCCGGGUUUGAUCCCUGGAACCAAACAAACAAGAACAACAAAUAAACAUAACACAGUGGAAAUAGUUUCUGACUCCUUUUUACCUAGCUAUCCUUGCUUGUAUUUUCGUUUCUUGUCACUUGUUCUUAUAUGAUAAAGGAUAUGGCUUCUUUCUUCCACCGAGGCAAAUGUCACUCGUAUUAUUUUUCUUUCUGUCAUUCAAGUCCUGGCCUUAUUUGAGCAGCGGAGUGAGGCCUUUCUAUUAUUCAGGGUCCCUUUCAGACAGGGCCGUUUCUGUGGCCGUAUUGAACAACUCACAUUUUCAGAAUAUGUUUCUCACAAGCUCCUUGAAGGGACAGGCCCUGUUCCUUUAACAAUGUAAUUCUCCUGGGGGAGAAUAAUAUUGAUUAUUAGACCUGCACCUCCU
Molecule: long non-coding RNA, 1478 nt
Filed under: Fukomys damarensis (Damara mole-rat)
Lineage: Eukaryota; Metazoa; Chordata; Mammalia; Rodentia; Bathyergidae
Description: lncRNA (ENSFDAG00000027919.1)
Source: RNAcentral